RNAcentral lists this long non-coding RNA (319 nucleotides) under Elaeis guineensis (African oil palm). RNAcentral describes it as "long non-coding RNA (EGUI_LNC060289)". The record is from RNAcentral. Lineage: Eukaryota; Viridiplantae; Streptophyta; Magnoliopsida; Arecales; Arecaceae.
AGCUGAUCAUACUACUUCAUCAGAAGUCAAUUCAGGUAGCUCAGGUCGAUGUUUAGAUGAGCUGGGUUGAGCCAGAUCAGCAUUUAGGUCGGCAUUCAGCCUCCAAUUUAGGUCGGCAUUCAGCCUCCACUUCAGAUCGGCUUUAUAUGAACUCAGCCUUCACUUCAGAUCGACUUUCUUAUGAGCUCAACUUCUGAUUCAGGUCGGCUUUAUAUGAACUCACCCUCUUGUUCAGGUUAGCUUUAUAUGAACUCAACCUCCAAUUCAGAUCGACUUUCUUAUGAACUGAGGUGGGAUAACCCUCACAAUACUUGCCCCC